AUUGAACGCUGGCGGCAGGCCUAACACAUGCAAGUCGAGCGGAUGAAGGGAGCUUGCUCCUGGAUUCAGCGGCGGACGGGUGGGUAAUGCCUAGGAAUCUGCCUGGUAGUGGGGGAUAACGUCCGGAAACGGGCGCUAAUACCGCAUACGUCCUGAGGGGGAAAGUGGGGGAUCUUCGGACCUCACGCUAUCAGAUGAGCCUAGGUCGGAUUAGCUAGUUGGUGGGGUAAAGGCCUACCAAGGCGACGAUCCGUAACUGGUCUGAGAGGAUGAUCAGUCACACUGGAACUGAGACACGGUCCAGACUCCUACGGGAGGCAGCAGUGGGGAAUAUUGGACAAUGGGCGAAAGCCUGAUCCAGCCGUGCCGCGUGUGUGAAGAAGGUCUUCGGAUUGUAAAGCACUUUAAGUUGGGAGGAAGGGCAGUAAGUUAAUACCUUGCUGUUUUGACGUUACCAACAGAAUAAGCACCGGCUAACUUCGUG
Molecule: ribosomal RNA, 484 nt
Filed under: uncultured bacterium
Lineage: Bacteria
Description: partial 16S ribosomal RNA
Rfam family: Bacterial small subunit ribosomal RNA
Source: RNAcentral